Molecule: non-coding RNA, 844 nt
Organism: Pelobates cultripes (western spadefoot toad)
Lineage: Eukaryota; Metazoa; Chordata; Amphibia; Anura; Pelobatidae
Source: the annotation of a GenBank genome assembly
CCCAUGUAUAUCCAGUAGUGGAUUCAUAUAAUUUGUACUAUUUAACGCGAUAUCUUGACUGCUUAGAAUAUAUUGCUUGAUAAGCAGUCUACCUUUAAAUUUCAUUUCAAAAUUCAUGUUUUUAUCGGGGACAUAAGCUUGGGAACAUUUUUCAGAAAGGAGUUGGAUAAGGAACUAAAUUUUGUAGAGCCUGUGAAACAAUGGGUCGUUUCAAGGGGAACACAGUGCGAAGUUGUUAAAAUGGAGGAAACACAGCAGUUGCUCUUAGCAAUCCCUCUUCAUGACAUCUGGUGAAAGAGGGGUAGCCAGGAUAAGGUGCUAUUCAGCUUUUUGACAAUACCUAUUACUAAUGUUAGAGCCCCCAAAUGUUCACAUUUCUAGGACAUCCGUAGUGUGCCUCAUGUUUCUUCUAUUGUAAUGUGAAUCUAGAUUCGCAGCGGCAUACUGGUUGGCAAACAAGUUGGCUUGCUCAACCAUUAGCUCAAAUGUCAUAGCUCAAAGUAUUUUAGUGACUCACAAGCAUCCACGAUUACUGUGAUGCCAAGUAAUUCUGCAAAUUGGGGUAUUUCCAGAGCCAUCAGGUUUGGGGGUACCUAGUUUUCCUUGGGCCCUUAGCUUCCCAAGCGUCCUCUUGUUGAUGAGGGUGGGGAACCAUUACUUGAGGAUUUACUCAUGGGCCUCAAUGUCAGAGGCAAUGAUAGUGUCACUGUCUACCAGAAUGACGUACGCCUUCUCCACUGUAUAGUAAUAUGCAAUUAUAGGGGGAUUAAAUGUACUUUAUUAAAUACAAAAGAUGAUACUGCACUCAGAAAUUUGGAAUAAAGUUCAUUACAAAAUUUAAUAA